UGGGGAAUAUUGGACAAUGGGCGCAAGCCUGAUCCAGCAAUGCCGCGUGUGUGAAGAAGGCCUUCGGGUUGUAAAGCACCUUUAUCAGGAGCGAAAACGCUGUCGGCUAAUACCCGGCGGAACUGACGGUACCUGAGGAAUAAGCACCGGCUAACUUCGUGCCAGCAGCCGCGGUAAUACGAAGGGUGCAAGCGUUAAUCGGAAUUACUGGGCGUAAAGCGUGCGUAGGCGGUUUCUUAAGUCUGCUGUGAAAUCCCCGGGCUCAACCUGGGAAUGGCAGUGGAUACUGGGAGGCUAGAGUGUGUCAGAGGGUGGUGGAAUUCCCGGUGUAGCGGUGAAAUGCGUAGAGAUCGGGAGGAACAUCAGUGGCGAAGGCGGCCACCUGGGACAACACUGACGCUGAGGCACGAAAGCGUGGGGAGCAAACAGGAUUAGGAUACCCUGGUAGUCCACGCCCUAAAGCGAUGCGAACUGGAUGUUGGUCUCAACUCGGAGAUCAGUGUCGAAGCUAACGCGUUAAGUUCGCCGCCUGGGGAGUACGGUCGCAAGACUGAAACUUAAAUGAAUUGACGGGGUCAUAGCUGUUUCC
RNAcentral lists this ribosomal RNA (589 nucleotides) under uncultured bacterium. Its description in RNAcentral is "partial 16S ribosomal RNA". It matches the Rfam family "Bacterial small subunit ribosomal RNA", at positions 355 to 937 of the family's 1533-position model. The record is from RNAcentral.